AUACGGAGGGUGCGAGCGUUAAUCGGAAUUACUGGGCGUAAAGCGUGCGCAGGCGGUUGUGUAAGUCAGAUGUGAAAUCCCCGGGCUCAACCUGGGAACUGCAUUUGAGACUGCACGGCUAGAGUGUGACAGAGGGGGGUAGAAUUCCACGUGUAGCAGUGAAAUGCGUAGAGAUGUGGAGGAACACCGAUGGCGAAGGCAGCCCCCUGGGUUAACACUGACGCUCAUGCACGAAAGCGUGGGUAGC
This 247-nucleotide ribosomal RNA is filed under the name uncultured bacterium. RNAcentral describes it as "partial 16S ribosomal RNA". It matches the Rfam family "Bacterial small subunit ribosomal RNA", at positions 523 to 769 of the family's 1533-position model. The record is from RNAcentral.